RNAcentral lists this ribosomal RNA (468 nucleotides) under uncultured bacterium. RNAcentral's name for it is "partial 16S ribosomal RNA". It matches the Rfam family "Bacterial small subunit ribosomal RNA", at positions 28 to 507 of the family's 1533-position model. The record is from RNAcentral.
GACGAACGCUGGCGGCGUGCUUAACACAUGCAAGUCGAACGGUGAAGCUCCAGCUUGCUGGAGUGGAUCAGUGGCGAACGGGUGAGUAACACGUGAGCAACCUGCCCCAGACUCUGGAAUAAGCGCUGGAAACGGCGUCUAAUACUGGAUACGAGAUCAAGCCGCAUGGUUAUGGUCUGGAAAGUUUUUCGGUUUGGGAUGGGCUCGCGGCCUAUCAGCUUGUUGGUGAGGUAAUGGCUCACCAAGGCGACGACGGGUAGCCGGCCUGAGAGGGCGACCGGCCACACUGUGACUGAGACACGGCCCAGACUCCUACGGGAGGCAGCAGUGGGGAAUAUUGCACAAUGGGCGAAAGCCUGAUGCAGCGACGCCGCGUGAGGGAUGACGGCCUUCGGGUUGUAAACCUCUUUCAGCAGGGAAGAAGCGAAAGUGACGGUACCUGCAGAAGAAGCACCGGCUAACUACGUG